Molecule: transfer RNA, 65 nt
Filed under: Libnetis sp. UPOL TH0149
Lineage: Eukaryota; Metazoa; Arthropoda; Insecta; Coleoptera; Lycidae
Description: tRNA-Leu
Source: RNAcentral
AUUAUCUUGGCAGAAUAGUGUAAUUGAUUUAGAAUCAUUUUAAGUAAUUAGUAUUACAGAUAAUA